This 224-nucleotide ribosomal RNA is filed under the name uncultured bacterium. RNAcentral's name for it is "partial 16S ribosomal RNA". It matches the Rfam family "Bacterial small subunit ribosomal RNA", at positions 109 to 334 of the family's 1533-position model. The record is from RNAcentral.
AGUAACGCGUAGGAACCUGUCGCGGAGUGGGGGACAACGCCGGGAAACUGGUGCUAAUACCGCAUGAUGUUUGUGGGGGAGACCUCAUAAAAGAAAGCAGCAAUGCGCUCUGUGAGGGGCCUGUGUCCGAUUAGCUUGUUGGUGGGGUAAAGGCCUACCAAGGCGACGAUCGGUAGCUGGUCUGAGAGGACGGUCAGCCACACUGGGACUGAGACACGGCCCAG